RNAcentral lists this ribosomal RNA (253 nucleotides) under uncultured bacterium. RNAcentral describes it as "partial 16S ribosomal RNA". It matches the Rfam family "Bacterial small subunit ribosomal RNA", at positions 524 to 776 of the family's 1533-position model. The record is from RNAcentral.
UACGAAGGGGGCUAGCGUUGCUCGGAAUCACUGGGCGUAAAGCGCACGUAGGCGGACUCUUAAGUCGGUGGUGAAAUCCCUCAGCUUAACUGGGGAACUGCGUCUGAGACUGGAUGGCUUGAGUGCAGGAGAGGAACGCGGAAUUCCAGGUGUAGCGGUGAAAUGCGUAGAUAUCUGGAGGAACACCGGUGGCGAAGGCGGCGUUCUGGACUGCUACUGACACUGAGGAACGAAAGCCAGGGGAGCAAACGGG